AUUUUCUCAUCAAGUAAUUGUUAAAUAUGAGCCAGCUCAAACAAAAAAAAAAAAGUCAUAGAACAUUACAUUUUGUGUAUCUGCAUACAUAUCUUUUCUGGAAUAUCAUGAGGAAGCUUUAAAUACUCCAGGACAGAAUAAUGAAAGUGCAGAACUCUGUUUCAGUGAUACAGUGGGACUAAAUUAAACCUUGAAGUUGCGCUUGAGGUAUCAAGCACUUGUGGAAAGAAUUCCCCAGAAAAUUGUUGAGCUGCAUCUGAAUGAUGUUCUGUAUCUACCACGAAUCCCACACACGAAAAGGGAAAUAAAAGAGCAAAAAGUAUGUAUGUUAUAAAAAGAACAGUGUUCAAAAGGGCUGCUUCUAAAGCAAGUGCAAGAUAACAGAAAGCCUGUUGAAGGCGUUACUCAUUAGUUUGACUGGUUGUUUACACCAGUGAUGUAAUUUGUAGAACUGUGUUGAUACUUUCUGUCAAGAAACUGGGUAAUAGAAAUAUAGGUUCAGCUUCAUCAUUAUGGUCCAGGCUGCUGGGACAAAGUUGUGAAGUGCAAUCCUUGUGGUACACCAACAGUUUUCCUGAAAUAUUUGAAAAGCACAUAAAGGAAAAGAAAGACCAGAUGGGAGACAAAAUGGUUCUGCGCUCAGGGAUCACAGGAACACCACGUUCAGUUCAGUGUCUAAAACUGCGAGGCUUGAAUGGAAAACAUACUAAUUCUAGACAACUAACAAUUCAGAUUGUCUCUGUGAGAGAAAGCUGAGAAAGUCCCAUUUUGAAGUGCCAAAGUAUCACAAGAGAAGGCUGGCCCAAGCCUGGAUGCCACCAUUGCCUUGUGCAUGUCACUGCCAACUGCUUCUGAACCUCAGUCAAGGGGCGUUUUCCAGCUCUGGACUGGCUCUACUCCUCCAUGGCUGUUCCUUCCCAUAGAGAUUACUUCUUAAGAAGGAAGCAAACUGAAGCAGCAGGCUGCUGAGAGCAGAGCUAAGAGCCUUAUACUGAAGGUAUGCAACAUUUCACAUAUACUGCCAUCUGUCGUUCCAGUUUUAUCACUCUGCCUCUGUGGUUUUUAUUCUAGCAGCAAGCAGAUCUCCUGCAAGGAAUGUUUUUGCAAGAGAUCUGUCGCAAGUACAGCUGGGAGGACUCAUACAUGCUCUGUCUGAAAUAGUACACACUUCAUUUAGCCGUUUAACCUGCUGCAUACACCUUCAGUUCUGGCUGUGACCAAAUUUGUGUUUGUUUCACUCAAUUUAUUUUAAUGGCAAGCUUGUCUCUUUAUUCAAACCACAGCCAGAGCUUUCAUGUUCUGAAUCGGUUGUACCUUUGCAGCGAGUUGUACAAACGUGUAUCACAAGCUUUGCAUGCACGUAUACAACUAAAAUCAUAAAGUUGUGUAAAAUCUCCUGCCUUAUACACUCACCUGCAGUUCCAUGUUUAGUCAAUUUGUAGCUCUUUGACUUUCCCUACUACAGCCUGCAGCUGCUCUCUUGAACUCUGCCCCUUCAGUUCAUCUGCCCAACAAAACUAAGUAAGUUCCUUUUGUUCUUACUUCUCAUCUUUCCUGCCCAUUUCACUUGCAAGAGCUAUAAGGAAACACGUCUCUAUGUAUGUAUUGUCACACAGACACAUUACUUCUUUGGGCUUGGCAUCACCUGGACAUGACUUAAAUCCUUCCAAGUCUAAACUAACCAGAGAAACAUCCCUAUAAUCACCAGAGACAGCAAGAGGCGCUAUCUGGGAUCAACAGGUAGCCUGGAGGAACAUUUCACAACUAACAGAGUCAACGUGCAAGCAAAGGACAGCAUUUUUAUAUCCAAAGAAGCAAAAUUAGGGCUGGGCGUGUGGAUGUGAGUGUGUUGGAUCUGGUCCUAGCAC
This is a long non-coding RNA of Coturnix japonica (Japanese quail), 1868 nucleotides long. RefSeq lists it as uncharacterized. NCBI's taxonomy places the organism in Eukaryota, Metazoa, Chordata, Aves, Galliformes, Phasianidae. The record is from RefSeq and is a predicted model, not a curated record.